GAUGAACGCUGGCGGCGUGCCUAAUACAUGCAAGUAGAACGCUGAAGGAAGGAGCUUGCUCUUUCCGGAUGAGUUGCGAACGGGUGAGUAACGCGUAGGUAACCUGCCUGGUAGCGGGGGAUAACUAUUGGAAACGAUAGCUAAUACCGCAUAACAGUAGAUGUUGCAUGAUAUCUACUUAAAAGGUGCAAUUGCACCACUACCAGAUGGACCUGCGUUGUAUUAGCUAGUUGGUGAGGUAACGGCUCACCAAGGCGACGAUACAUAGCCGACCUGAGAGGGUGAUCGGCCAAACUGGGACUGAGGCACGGCCCAGGCUCCUGCGGGAGGCAGCAGUAGGGAAUCUUCGGCAAUGGACGGAAGUCUGACCGAGCAACGCCGCGUGAGUGAAGAAGGUUUUCGGAUCGUAAAGCUCUGUUGUAAGAGAAGAACGAGUGUGAGAGUGGAAAGUUCACAAUGUGACGGUAUCUUACCAGAAAGGGACGGCUAACUACGUG
Molecule: ribosomal RNA, 497 nt
Filed under: uncultured bacterium
Lineage: Bacteria
Description: partial 16S ribosomal RNA
Rfam family: Bacterial small subunit ribosomal RNA
Source: RNAcentral